CCUACGGGUGGCAGCAGUGGGGAAUUUUGGACAAUGGGGGCAACCCUGAUCCAGCCAUGCCGCGUGCGGGAAGAAGGCCUUCGGGUUGUAAACCGCUUUUGGCCGGGAAGAAAAGGCCACUCCUAAUACGGGUGGUUCUUGACGGUACCGGCAGAAUCAGCACCGGCUAACUACGUGCCAGCAGCCGCGGUAAUACGUAGGGUGCGAGCGUUAAUCGGAAUUACUGGGCGUAAAGCGUGCGUAGGCGGUUCGUUGUGUCUGUGGUGAAAGCCCCGGGCUUAACCUGGGAACGGCCAUGGAAACUGGCGAGCUGGAGUGUGGCAGAGGAGGGUGGAAUUCCGCGUGUAGCAGUGAAAUGCGUAGAGAUGCGGAGGAACACCGAUGGCGAAGGCAGCCCUCUGGGCUAACACUGACGCUGAGGCACGAAAGCGUGGGGAGCAAACAGGAUUAGAUACCCCUGUAGUC
This 465-nucleotide ribosomal RNA is filed under the name uncultured bacterium. RNAcentral's name for it is "bacterial SSU rRNA". It matches the Rfam family "Bacterial small subunit ribosomal RNA", at positions 338 to 795 of the family's 1533-position model. The record is from RNAcentral.